GACGAACGCUGGCGGCGUGCUUAACACAUGCAAGUCGAACGGAAAGGCCCUGCUUUUGUGGGGUGCUCGAGUGGCGAGCGGGUGAGUAACACGUGAGUAACCUGCCCUUGACUUUGGGAUAACUUCAGGAAACUGGGGCUAAUACCGGGUAGGAGCUCCUGCUGCAUGGUGGGGGUUGGAAAGUUUCGGCGGUUGGGGAUGGACUCGCGGCUUAUCAGCUUGUUGGUGGGGUAGUGGCUUACCAAGGCUUUGACGGGUAGCCGGCCUGAGAGGGUGACCGGCCACAUUGGGACUGAGAUACGGCCCAGACUCCUACGGGAGGCAGCAGUGGGGAAUAUUGCACAAUGGGCGGAAGCCUGAUGCAGCAACGCCGCGUGCGGGAUGACGGCCUUCGGGUUGUAAACCGCUUUCGCCUGUGACGAAGCGUGAGUGACGGUAAUGGGUAAAGAAGCACCGGCUAACUACGUG
This 468-nucleotide ribosomal RNA is filed under the name uncultured bacterium. RNAcentral's name for it is "partial 16S ribosomal RNA". It matches the Rfam family "Bacterial small subunit ribosomal RNA", at positions 28 to 507 of the family's 1533-position model. The record is from RNAcentral.